GCCGGGUUGGCAGAGAGGCUAUGCGUCCGCCUGCAGAGCGGAAUAGAGGGGCUCGAUUCCCCUACCCGGCU
This 71-nucleotide transfer RNA is filed under the name Microcaldota archaeon. RNAcentral describes it as "tRNA-Cys". It matches the Rfam family "tRNA". Rfam says of the family: Transfer RNA (tRNA) molecules are approximately 80 nucleotides in length. Their secondary structure includes four short double-helical elements and three loops (D, anti-codon, and T loops). Lineage: Archaea; Nanobdellati; Microcaldota. The record is from RNAcentral.